Molecule: ribosomal RNA, 119 nt
Filed under: Propionibacteriales bacterium
Lineage: Bacteria; Bacillati; Actinomycetota; Actinomycetes; Propionibacteriales
Description: partial 16S ribosomal RNA
Rfam family: Bacterial small subunit ribosomal RNA
Source: RNAcentral
UCAACGGAGAGUUUGAUCCUGGCUCAGGACGAACGCUGGCGGCGUGCUUAACACAUGCAAGUCGAGCGGUAAGGCUCCUUCGGGAGUACACGAGCGGCGAACGGGUGAGUAACACGUGA